RNAcentral lists this ribosomal RNA (94 nucleotides) under Dunaliella pseudosalina. Its description in RNAcentral is "partial 28S ribosomal RNA". It matches the Rfam family "Eukaryotic large subunit ribosomal RNA", at positions 1 to 93 of the family's 3401-position model. Lineage: Eukaryota; Viridiplantae; Chlorophyta; Chlorophyceae; Chlamydomonadales; Dunaliellaceae. The record is from RNAcentral.
UCGACCUGAGCUCAAGCAAGACCACCCGCUGAACUUAAGCAUAUCAAUAAGCGGAGGAAAAGAAACUAACAAGGAUUCCCUUAGUAAUGGCCAA